Molecule: ribosomal RNA, 497 nt
Filed under: uncultured bacterium
Lineage: Bacteria
Description: partial 16S ribosomal RNA
Rfam family: Bacterial small subunit ribosomal RNA
Source: RNAcentral
GAUGAACGCUGGCGGCGUGCCUAAUACAUGCAAGUCGAGCGAACGGACGAGAAGCUUGCUUCUCUGAUGUUAGCGGCGGACGGGUGAGUAACACGUGGAUAACCUACCUAUAAGACUGGGAUAACUUCGGGAAACCGGAGCUAAUACCGGAUAAUAUUUUGAACCGCAUGGUUCAAAAGUGAAAGAGGGUUUUGCUGUCAUUUAUAGAUGGACCCGCGCUGCAUUAGCUAGUUGGUAAGGUAACGGCUUACCAAGGCAACGAUGCAUAGCCGACCUGAGAGGGUGAUCGGCCACACUGGAACUGAGACACGGUCCAGACUCCUACGGGAGGCAGCAGUAGGGAAUCUUCCGCAAUGGGCGAAAGCCUGACGGAGCAACGCCGCGUGAGUGAUGAAGGUCUUCGGAUCGUAAAACUCUGUUAUUAGGGAAGAACAUAUGUGUAAGUAACUGUGCACAUCUUGACGGUACCUAAUCAGAAAGCCACGGCUAACUACGUG